GACGAACGCUGGCGGCGUGCUUAACACAUGCAAGUCGAACGGUAAGGCCCUGUCGGGGGUCCUCGAGCGGUGAACGGGGGCGUAACACGUAGGCGAUCUGCCCUUCACUUUGGGAUAAGCCUGGGAAACUGGGUCUAAUACCGGAUAGGACUACGCGAUGCAUGUCGUGUGGUGGAAAGUUAUUGCGGUUUGGGAUGGGCCCUAGGCCUAUCUGCUCGCUGGUGGAGUGAGGGCCUACCAAAGCGGCGUGGGGUAGCCGACAUGGGAGGGUGGACGGCCACACUGGGACUGCGAUACGGCCCAGACUCCAACGGGAGGCAGCAGGGGAGAAUAUUGCACAAUGGGCGCAAGCCUGAUGCAGAGGCGCCGCGUGGGGGAUGCCGGCCUUCGAGUUGUAAACCAAUUUCAACAUAGCCGAAGCGUAAGUGACGGUAGGUGCAGAAGAAGCACCGGCCAACUACGUG
This 464-nucleotide ribosomal RNA is filed under the name uncultured bacterium. RNAcentral's name for it is "partial 16S ribosomal RNA". It matches the Rfam family "Bacterial small subunit ribosomal RNA", at positions 28 to 507 of the family's 1533-position model. The record is from RNAcentral.